UUUCUGGUUGAUCCUGCCGGACCUGACUGCUAUCGGAUUGAUACUAAGCCAUGCGAGUCAUUGUAGCAAUACAAGGCAUACGGCUCAGUAACGCGUAGUCAACCUAACCUAUGGACGGGAAUAACCUCGGGAAACUGAGAAUAAUGCCCGAUAGAACAUUAUACCUGGAAUGGUUUAUGUUCCAAAUGAUUUAUCGCCGUAGGAUGGGACUGCGGCCUAUCAGUUUGUUGGUGAGGUAAUGGCCCACCAAGACUAUUACAGGUACGGGCUCUGAGAGGAGUAGCCCGGAGAUGGGUACUGAGACACGGACCCAGGCCCUAUGGGGCGCAGCAGGCGAGAAAACUUUGCAAUGUGCGAAAGCACGACAAGGUUAAUCCGAGUGAUUUCUGCUAAAGAAAUCUUUUGUUAGUCCUAGAAACACUAACGAAUAAGGGGUGGGCAAGUUCUGGUGUCAGCCGCCGCGGUAAAACCAGCACCUCAAGUGGUCAGGAUGAUUAUUGGGCCUAAAGCAUCCGUAGCCGGCUCUGUAAGUUUUCGGUUAAAUCUGUACGCUUAACGUACAGGCCGCCGGGAAUACUGCAAAGCUAGGGAGUGGGAGAAGUAGACGGUACUCGGUAGGAAGUGGUAAAAUGCUUUGAUCUAUCGAUGACCACCUGUGGCGAAGGCGGUCUACUAGAACACGUCCGACGGUGAGGGAUGAAAGCUGGGGGAGCAAACCGGAUUAGAUACCCGGGUAGUCCCAGCUGUAAACUAUGCAAACUCAGUGAUGCAUUGGCUUGUGGCCAAUGCAGUGCUGCAGGGAAGCCGUUAAGUUUGCCGCCUGGGAAGUACGUACGCAAGUAUGAAACUUAAAGGAAUUGGCGGGGGAGCACCACAAGGGGUGAAGCCUGCGGUUCAAU
Molecule: ribosomal RNA, 899 nt
Filed under: uncultured archaeon
Lineage: Archaea
Description: bacterial SSU rRNA
Rfam family: Archaeal small subunit ribosomal RNA
Source: RNAcentral